AGUGAUGGAUAACAGGUCGGA
Molecule: non-coding RNA, 21 nt
Filed under: Rattus norvegicus (Norway rat)
Lineage: Eukaryota; Metazoa; Chordata; Mammalia; Rodentia; Muridae
Source: RNAcentral